Lolium perenne is the source of this 1791-nucleotide non-coding RNA. The record is from RefSeq and is a predicted model, not a curated record. NCBI's taxonomy places the organism in Eukaryota, Viridiplantae, Streptophyta, Magnoliopsida, Poales, Poaceae.
CUUGACUUGAGACAUCUAUGCUUGACAAUACUUUUUAGUACCAGAAAGUAGUCCGUGCAUAAACGAACAAGUUUUGUGCUUCUUCAUAAGGAUUCCGAUUCCCUUGUAGAAUUAGCAACUGAGUCAAGAAAGCCAGUGGUGAGCCUAGAAUUUGAACAACAGGAUUUUAAUAAAAAAAAAUAAGGUAAUUGACAGCUCAAAUCCUAAUUUUAGCUGGCUAUGGCCUUGGUUGACAUAAUGAGCCAGGAGAAUGAAUAAGGGAUGGACGCUCCCUUGAUUCCAAUGUUAUGUUGUGUUAUUUUCAUAUUUUUCAUACAUGCACACAUUACAUACUAUAUCAGGUAAUACACAAACUGAUUGGGUGAGGCGCAUUAUCUGAUAUUAUCAUGUUGUGCUGACUAGCAAGUGCCCUUCCUAUUCAUGUUUCAGGCACCUCCCUUAAUUGGUUGUGAUGUCAGACUUCAGAAACAAUGGAAAUAGUGAGAAACAAAGAAGUAUUUCAAGCAAACCAAGCGCGCUCUUGACCUGGGCUUCCUUGGGCAUGGUAUAAGUAGAGAGCCACCAAUUCAGACUAAUGAUAGGACACCAAUUCAGAAUAUAAUGGUAAGCUAUUAGGAGACCGAUUCAGAAUAUAAUGGCCACCAUUCCUUGGGCAUGGUGUAAGUAGAAGUCCCUGCUUUCUUUGUACAGAAUAUAAUGAACACAUAGGACAAUGUUAGGACACCAAUUCAGACCACAUAUAUACAAUUGCUUAAUGUCAUAUAUACACUUGACACCAUGGUUUUUAAGGCGACGCCUUGGCGCCUUAAGGAGGGAGGGCGCUUUGGCGCCUAGGCGACGCCUAGGCGGGCGCUUUGGACGCCUAGGCGCCUAAAGCGGCCGUUUUUACAAAGCGGAGGGGGAGCGCCUUGACGCCUAGGCGUCGCCUAGGCGACGACUAAGCGACGCUUUUUAAACCAUGCUUGACACAAUUACAUAGGUUGACUCCACUCUUGGAUCUCAUGCUAGGAUGGCUUCGGGUAUUUCUACAUCUUCGGCUUCGGCUUCAGAGUUGGAGCUGGAGGGGAAGAUGCAAGUAAUGGGAAAUCUGCAGUUGGCGAUCGACAAAUAGAAGCUAGGCCUGAUACACUGACAGUUGAUACUGGUGCUGGGGUUCCAUUCCAUCAAAUAUUUUAGUCAGUUUUCAAGUUCUUUGUAUAUGACCAGAUAUACAGAAAGCAUGCUCAACAACAAGGUAUACAGAAAGCAUGCUCAACAACAAGUUUCUUUAACACACUGAAGCUAUCCAUUUGAUGUGCAGUUAUCGACCAUUCAAGACUUUGAACCCACUCUCAGAAGAUAUCUGCAUGAUUCCUCUUAAGAAGCUGAAGAGUUUGCCUUCUGGAUUUACUUUGAUGACAGUUGCAUUUUUGGUGUAGAAUUUAUCAAGGUUAUCACUGUGAAAACAACAGAUACUACUUCAGAAAACCUGUAUGUAGCAGAGCAUCACCUUUGAUGACCAUGGAGUGUAUACUUGGAUUAUUGAAGGCUUCACCACACCUCAGACCCCAUGCAACUCUCCAACAUUUGUAACUGAUAAAUUCUACACCAGAAGAGUUUGCCUUCUGGAUACAAAUGGUAUCUAAGUAUCAAGACAUCUAACAUGGAUGUGGAUGGCAGCACGAAUUUUCUCUCUCUGUUCUUGCAUCUGUAAGAUAUGCUCCCCAGAAAUCAUGGAAUACUGGUAGAAGUCAGCUUUUCUCUCAUGGACCAAGCAAAUGGCAACCACAGGGAGUUCAGAGGUUCACAUUC